CCGUGAUAAAGUAGCAUAAUCACUCGUCAUUUAAUUGGUGACUGGAAUGAAUGGUUACACGAAUCUUUAACUGUCUCAAGAAGAAAGUUCAAUUAAUUUGAAAAAACAGUGAAGAUGCUGUUAACAAAAUUGUAAGACGAAAAGACCCUUUCGAGCUUUACUAUAAGCUUAUAGAAAAAAUCUUUAAUAAAAAUAUAAUAAAAACAAACUGUAAGCUAGUUAGUUUGGUUGGGGCGACCACCUCUAAAACAGUAUCAGAGGAAAUCUAAAGGUGUAAUAGUAAUAUUAAUUGCCUUACUGUAUACAAACAAGUUAAUCAGUUACUAUUAUGUAGGAUAUAAUGACCCGUUGAAUUAAUUUCAAAAUUCAACGACCAUGAAAAAAGUUACCGUAGGGAUAACAGGGUAAUAUUAUCAAAGAGUUCAUAUCGAUGAUGAU
Molecule: ribosomal RNA, 438 nt
Filed under: Nemopilema nomurai
Lineage: Eukaryota; Metazoa; Cnidaria; Scyphozoa; Rhizostomeae; Rhizostomatidae
Description: partial 16S ribosomal RNA
Rfam family: Bacterial large subunit ribosomal RNA
Source: RNAcentral